This 279-nucleotide long non-coding RNA is filed under the name Mytilus galloprovincialis (Mediterranean mussel). The record is from RNAcentral. Lineage: Eukaryota; Metazoa; Mollusca; Bivalvia; Mytilida; Mytilidae.
ACAACAAAUAUUCCCUAGCUGUAUAUUGAUAUAUGAAAUAGCUUGUAAUAAAAACAAUGUUGUGUUAAAUAAUAAAAUUAAUGAAGAUACUGCUGACAUUUGUUGAAUUUAAUAAACAGUUAAGUCUUGCACAACAUUGUAAAUGAAGGAACAGCUCAAUAAACUUUUAAAACUGUGUCAAAUUGUAAUAUCGGUCACUGACGCGAAACGGGCGUAAAUUGUGGAAAAGCAGCACAAUACGAAAUUGUGAAUUGUGGUUCCGAUUUUGUACAGGGAUUA